This 1446-nucleotide ribosomal RNA is filed under the name Methanosarcinales archaeon. Its description in RNAcentral is "bacterial SSU rRNA". It matches the Rfam family "Archaeal small subunit ribosomal RNA". Lineage: Archaea; Methanobacteriati; Methanobacteriota; Methanomicrobia; Methanosarcinales. The record is from RNAcentral.
GUUGAUCCUGCGUGAGAUUUCCGCUAGAGGAGUUGGAGUAAGCCAUGAAAGUGAAUUUGUGUUUACACGAAUCGCAGAAGGCUGAGUAACACGUCACUAACCUGCCUUAUUGUAUGCAAUAAUCUUGGGAAACUGAGUGUAAAACAUAUAGUUAUUUCAAAUUGGAAUAUUAAAAUAAUUAAGAUAAGAUGGGGUGGCGGCUGAUUAGGUAGUUGGUGAGGUAAUGGCUCACCAAGCCAAAGAUCAGUAGGGGUUGUGAGAGCAAUGACCUCCAGAAGGACACUGAGAUAAGGGUCCUAGCCCUAAGGGGUGCAGCAGGCGCGAAACCUUUACAAUGCACGAAAGUGUGAUAAGGCAACUCCUUGUGCUUAUCUAAAAGAUAGGCUUUUUUUAUAUGUAAUGCGUAUGAAGAAUAAGUGAUGGGCAAGACCGGUGCCAGCAGCCGCGGUAAUACCGGCGUCACAAGUGGAGAUCACGAUUACUGGGUCUAAAGUGUUCGUAGCUGGUUGUAUAAGUUUCUUGUUAAAGUUCUGUAGCUUAACUCGGAAUUGCAAGAAAUACUGUACAACUUGAGACCGGAAGAGGUGUAAAGUAUGAAUUGGGUAGCGGUAAAAUGCUAUAAUCCUUUUCAGACUAACUAAGGCGAAGGCAUUACACUAAGACGGAUCUGACAGUGAGGAACGAAAGCUAGGGGAGCGAACCGGAUUAGAUACCCGGGUAGUCCUAGCUGUAAACGCUGCGGGUUACGCUUUGCCAAAUCUUUGGGAUUUGGCAGGGGGGAAGCGAAGGCAUUAAACCCGCCACCUGGGAAGUACAGCCGCAAGGCCGAAACUUAAAGGAAUUGCCGGGGGAGUACUACAAGCGGUGCGGCGUGCUGUUUAAUUGGAUUCUACACCGAACACCUCACCAGGGGCGACAGCAGAAUGAAGGUCAGAUUAAAGGUUUUACCUAACACGCUGAGAGGUGCUGCAUGGCCGCCAUAAGCUCGUGCUGCAAGGUGUCCUCUUAAGUGAGGAAACGAGCAAGACCCAUACCUAUAAUUGCUAAUCCAGUCGUUGGAUGCACCUUAUAGGGACUGCCUUGGAAACAAGGAGGAAGGUGUGGGCCAUGGCAGGUCUGUAUAGCCCGAAUCUCCUGGGCUACAAGCGCGCAACAACGAAUAGGACAAUGGGAUGCAACUCCGAAAGGAGAAGCCAAUCUCGAAACCUAUUCUUAGUUUAGAUUGAGGUUUGCAACUCAGCCUCAUGACAUUGGAAUCGCUAGUAACCGGAUGUUAUCAACGUCCGGUGAAUAUGUCCAUUCUCCUUGGACACACUGCCCGUCAAAUCAACCAAGUAGGGUUGAGACAAGGUGCUUUCAUUUGGAAGUAUCGAGUCUGAGCUCUGUGAGGGGGAUUAAGUCGUCACAAGGUAUCUGUAGGGGAACCUGCAGAUGGAUCACCUCCUU